This 432-nucleotide unclassified non-coding RNA is filed under the name soil metagenome. RNAcentral's name for it is "partial contains 5.8S ribosomal RNA, internal transcribed spacer 2, and large subunit ribosomal RNA". The stretch from base 1 to 120 matches the Rfam family "5.8S ribosomal RNA", at positions 35 to 154 of the family's 154-position model. The record is from RNAcentral.
GAUGAAGAACGCAGCGAAAUGCGAUACGUAAUGUGAAUUGCAGAAUUCAGUGAAUCAUCGAAUCUUUGAACGCAUAUUGCGCUCUCUGGUAUUCCGGAGAGCAUGCUUGUUUGAGUAUCAGUAAACACCUCAACUUCCAUAUCUUUUUUGAAAUGGGAGUUGGACUUGAGUGAUCCCAACGCUUUUCCUCACCGAAAAGUGGCGGGUUACUUGAAAUGCAGGUGCAGCUGGACUUUUCUCUGAGCUAUAAGCAUAUCUAUUUAGUCUGCCUAAAAAACAGAUUAUUACCUUUGCUGCAGCUAACAUAAAGGAGAUUAGUUCUUGUGCUGACUGAUGCAGGAUUCACAAAGCCGGCUUCGGCCGACUUUGUAAACUCGAUCUCAAAUCAAGUAAGACUACCCGCUGAACUUAAGCAUAUCAAUAAGCGGAGGA